ACGAACGCUGGCGGCGUGCUUAACCCAUGCAAGUCGAACGGAAAGGCCCUGCUUUUGUGGGGUGCUCGAGUGGCGAACGGGUGAGUAACACGUGAGUAACCUGCCCUUGACUUUGGGAUAACUUCAGGAAACUGGGGCUAAUACCGGAUAGGAGCUCCUGCUGCAUGGGGGGGGUUGGAAAGUUUCGGCGGUUGGGGAUGGACUCGCGGCUUAUCAGCUUGUUGGUGGGGUAGUGGCUUACCAAGGCUUUGACGGGUAGCCGGCCUGAGAGGGUGACCGGCCACAUUGGGACUGAGGUACGGCCCAGACUCCUACGGGAGGCAGCAGUGGGGAAUAUUGCACAAUGGGCGGAAGCCUGAUGCAGCAACGCCGCGUGCGGGAUGACGGCCUUCGGGUUGUAAACCGCUUUCGCCUGUGACGAAGCGUGAGUGACGGUAAUGGGUAAAGAAGCACCGGCUAACUACGUG
This 467-nucleotide ribosomal RNA is filed under the name uncultured bacterium. Its description in RNAcentral is "partial 16S ribosomal RNA". It matches the Rfam family "Bacterial small subunit ribosomal RNA", at positions 29 to 507 of the family's 1533-position model. The record is from RNAcentral.